RNAcentral lists this ribosomal RNA (497 nucleotides) under uncultured bacterium. Its description in RNAcentral is "partial 16S ribosomal RNA". It matches the Rfam family "Bacterial small subunit ribosomal RNA", at positions 28 to 507 of the family's 1533-position model. The record is from RNAcentral.
GACGAACGCUGGCGGCGUGCCUAAUACAUGCGAGUUGAGCGCUGAAGGUUGGUACUUGUACCAACUGGAUGAGCAGCGAACGGGUGAGUAACGCGUGGGGAAUCUGCCUUUGAGCGGGGGACAACAUUUGGAAACGAAUGCUAAUACCGCAUAAAAACUUUAAACACAAGUUUUAAGUUUGAAAGAUGCAAUUGCAUCACUCAAAGAUGAUCCCGCGUUGUAUUAGCUAGUUGGUGAGGUAAAGGCUCACCAAGGCGAUGAUACAUAGCCGACCUGAGAGGGUGAUCGGCCACAUUGGGACUGAGACACGGCCCAAACUCCUACGGGAGGCAGCAGUAGGGAAUCUUCGGCAAUGGACGAAAGUCUGACCGAGCAACGCCGCGUGAGUGAAGAAGGUUUUCGGAUCGUAAAACUCUGUUGGUAGAGAAGAACGUUGGUGAGAGUGGAAAGCUCACCAAGUGACGGUAACUACCCAGAAAGGGACGGCUAACUACGUG